Long non-coding RNA from Anguilla anguilla (European eel), 140 nucleotides. RefSeq lists it as uncharacterized. Lineage: Eukaryota; Metazoa; Chordata; Actinopteri; Anguilliformes; Anguillidae. The record is from RefSeq and is a predicted model, not a curated record. The transcript is spliced from 2 exons.
CGCGAAUCGCAUUCGUCUCGAACAUUCCGAUUCUGUCAAAUUGUUUUUCUCCUCGAGGCUUAAUGAACAGUCAGUUUUAACAAUGAAGAGGAAGAGGACCUUAAAAGAUUUCUUUUUUGGUAAGUGUGGUCGUCUUGCUU